Molecule: transfer RNA, 57 nt
Filed under: Capra hircus (goat)
Lineage: Eukaryota; Metazoa; Chordata; Mammalia; Artiodactyla; Bovidae
Also listed under: 1 other name
Rfam family: tRNA
About the family: Transfer RNA (tRNA) molecules are approximately 80 nucleotides in length. Their secondary structure includes four short double-helical elements and three loops (D, anti-codon, and T loops).
Source: Rfam by way of RNAcentral
UGGCUCAGAGGUUAAAGCAUCUGCCUGGAAUGCUGGAGACCCAGGUUCGAUCCCUGG